Molecule: ribosomal RNA, 2923 nt
Filed under: Klebsiella pneumoniae
Lineage: Bacteria; Pseudomonadati; Pseudomonadota; Gammaproteobacteria; Enterobacterales; Enterobacteriaceae
Also listed under: 1 other name
Description: bacterial LSU rRNA
Rfam family: Bacterial large subunit ribosomal RNA
Source: RNAcentral
GGGUUGUGAGGUUAAGCGACUAAGCGUACACGGUGGAUGCCCUGGCAGUCAGAGGCGAUGAAGGACGUGCUAAUCUGCGAAAAGCGUCGGUAAGGUGAUAUGAACCGUUAUAACCGGCGAUGUCCGAAUGGGGAAACCCAGUGCAAUUCGUUGCACUAUCGUUAACUGAAUACAUAGGUUAACGAGGCGAACCGGGGGAACUGAAACAUCUAAGUACCCCGAGGAAAAGAAAUCAACCGAGAUUCCCCCAGUAGCGGCGAGCGAACGGGGAGCAGCCCAGAGUCUGAAUCAGCUUGUGUGUUAGUGGAACGGUCUGGAAAGUCCGACGGUACAGGGUGAUAGUCCCGUACACCAAAAUGCACAGGUUGUGAACUCGAAGAGUAGGGCGGGACACGUGGUAUCCUGUCUGAAUAUGGGGGGACCAUCCUCCAAGGCUAAAUACUCCUGACUGACCGAUAGUGAACCAGUACCGUGAGGGAAAGGCGAAAAGAACCCCGGCGAGGGGAGUGAAAAAGAACCUGAAACCGUGUACGUACAAGCAGUGGGAGCACCUUCGGGUGUGACUGCGUACCUUUUGUAUAAUGGGUCAGCGACUUAUAUUCUGUAGCAAGGUUAACCGUAUAGGGGAGCCGCAGGGAAACCGAGUCUUAACUGGGCGUUAAGUUGCAGGGUAUAGACCCGAAACCCGGUGAUCUAGCCAUGGGCAGGUUGAAGGUUGGGUAACACUAACUGGAGGACCGAACCGACUAAUGUUGAAAAAUUAGCGGAUGACUUGUGGCUGGGGGUGAAAGGCCAAUCAAACCGGGAGAUAGCUGGUUCUCCCCGAAAGCUAUUUAGGUAGCGCCUCGUGAACUCAUCUUCGGGGGUAGAGCACUGUUUCGGCUAGGGGGUCAUCCCGACUUACCAACCCGAUGCAAACUACGAAUACCGAAGAAUGUUAUCACGGGAGACACACGGCGGGUGCUAACGUCCGUCGUGAAGAGGGAAACAACCCAGACCGCCAGCUAAGGUCCCAAAGUCAUGGUUAAGUGGGAAACGAUGUGGGAAGGCACAGACAGCCAGGAUGUUGGCUUAGAAGCAGCCAUCAUUUAAAGAAAGCGUAAUAGCUCACUGGUCGAGUCGGCCUGCGCGGAAGAUGUAACGGGGCUAAACCAUGCACCGAAGCUGCGGCAGCGACACUAUGUGUUGUUGGGUAGGGGAGCGUUCUGUAAGCCUGCGAAGGUGUGCUGUGAGGCAUGCUGGAGGUAUCAGAAGUGCGAAUGCUGACAUAAGUAACGAUAAAGCGGGUGAAAAGCCCGCUCGCCGGAAGACCAAGGGUUCCUGUCCAACGUUAAUCGGGGCAGGGUGAGUCGACCCCUAAGGCGAGGCCGAAAGGCGUAGUCGAUGGGAAACAGGUUAAUAUUCCUGUACUUGGUGUUACUGCGAAGGGGGGACGGAGAAGGCUAUGUUAGCCGGGCGACGGUUGUCCCGGUUUAAGCAUGUAGGCUGGUUGUCCAGGCAAAUCCGGAUAAUCAAGGCUGAGGUGUGAUGACGAGGCACUACGGUGCUGAAGUAACAAAUGCCCUGCUUCCAGGAAAAGCCUCUAAGCAUCAGGUAACAUUAAAUCGUACCCCAAACCGACACAGGUGGUCAGGUAGAGAAUACCAAGGCGCUUGAGAGAACUCGGGUGAAGGAACUAGGCAAAAUGGUGCCGUAACUUCGGGAGAAGGCACGCUGGUGUGUAGGUGAAGCCCCUGCGGGUGGAGCUGAGACCAGUCGAAGAUACCAGCUGGCUGCAACUGUUUAUUAAAAACACAGCACUGUGCAAACACGAAAGUGGACGUAUACGGUGUGACGCCUGCCCGGUGCCGGAAGGUUAAUUGAUGGGGUUAUCCGUAAGGAGAAGCUCUUGAUCGAAGCCCCGGUAAACGGCGGCCGUAACUAUAACGGUCCUAAGGUAGCGAAAUUCCUUGUCGGGUAAGUUCCGACCUGCACGAAUGGCGUAAUGAUGGCCAGGCUGUCUCCACCCGAGACUCAGUGAAAUUGAACUCGCUGUGAAGAUGCAGUGUACCCGCGGCAAGACGGAAAGACCCCGUGAACCUUUACUAUAGCUUGACACUGAACAUUGAGCCUUGAUGUGUAGGAUAGGUGGGAGGCUUUGAAGCGUGGACGCCAGUCUGCGUGGAGCCAACCUUGAAAUACCACCCUUUAAUGUUUGAUGUUCUAACGUUGGCCCCUUACCGGGGUUGCGGACAGUGUCUGGUGGGUAGUUUGACUGGGGCGGUCUCCUCCCAAAGCGUAACGGAGGAGCACGAAGGUUAGCUAAUCCUGGUCGGACAUCAGGAGGUUAGUGCAAUGGCAUAAGCUAGCUUGACUGCGAGCGUGACGGCGCGAGCAGGUGCGAAAGCAGGUCAUAGUGAUCCGGUGGUUCUGAAUGGAAGGGCCAUCGCUCAACGGAUAAAAGGUACUCCGGGGAUAACAGGCUGAUACCGCCCAAGAGUUCAUAUCGACGGCGGUGUUUGGCACCUCGAUGUCGGCUCAUCACAUCCUGGGGCUGAAGUAGGUCCCAAGGGUAUGGCUGUUCGCCAUUUAAAGUGGUACGCGAGCUGGGUUUAGAACGUCGUGAGACAGUUCGGUCCCUAUCUGCCGUGGGCGCUGGAGAAUUGAGGGGGGCUGCUCCUAGUACGAGAGGACCGGAGUGGACGCAUCACUGGUGUUCGGGUUGUCAUGCCAAUGGCACUGCCCGGUAGCUAAAUGCGGAAGAGAUAAGUGCUGAAAGCAUCUAAGCACGAAACUUGCCCCGAGAUGAGUUCUCCCUGAGACUUUAAGUCUCCUGAAGGAACGUUGAAGACGACGACGUUGAUAGGCCGGGUGUGUAAGCGCAGCGAUGCGUUGAGCUAACCGGUACUAAUGAACCGUGAGGCUUAACCUUACAACGCCGAAG